Molecule: long non-coding RNA, 206 nt
Filed under: Actinidia chinensis (golden kiwifruit)
Lineage: Eukaryota; Viridiplantae; Streptophyta; Magnoliopsida; Ericales; Actinidiaceae
Description: long non-coding RNA (ACHI_LNC007102)
Source: RNAcentral
AGGAAUAUUAUCGAUGAGUUCUCUUCGAACUGCACCCACUUGCAUACAGCUGACUGAAGCAUUCACCACCACACCACUAUCACGAUCAAACACAAGCUCACAUCCCAAACCAUUUCUGGUCCACGACUUCUCAUAUCUUUGUAGAACCCUUUUUUGAUAAUUAAUUGAUCUUACUGGAGAGGAGAGAGAGAGAGAGAGAGAUGCAG